Molecule: long non-coding RNA, 673 nt
Organism: Tripterygium wilfordii
Lineage: Eukaryota; Viridiplantae; Streptophyta; Magnoliopsida; Celastrales; Celastraceae
Exons: 3
Source: RefSeq, a predicted model, not a curated record
UUUCCGGCGACCUUGAAGCAUUAUUCUGACUUGUUUCGCUACUCUAAACGCGUUGGUGACAUUUUUGGAUCCAUAUAGACAACCUUGGAGCAUCCCGGGAAAUACAUCAUAAAUAUUCGUAUACGUACGGUAUACGUGGAGGUGAUCAAGGAGUUGGACUUGAUGUUGUAGACGGUUAAUUAUUUUGUGCACUACUAUCGAGGUGAGUUGUUUCUGACACCGGUACUACAGAUCAGCAGGAGGGGGGCGUGACUGUAGUGACCUGGAUGGGUGAUUAGUUUAUGUGUUGGACUUUGGAUGUCCUCUGUUAGUUUGGGAUUAUAUAUAUAUAUAUAUAUGCUACCAGACACAGAAUUCCCAAUACUCCGGAGCACCCUCCAGGUCAUCCAACAUAAAAUUUGAAAACAAACUCAUAAAUAAAUUUAGAUCUAAGUCUUACUCGCUUAGUUUCUUCUACGCUUGCCUGAUCCUUGUCGCUUAUGGUAUCGGAGCCAGAGGCAAGUUUUUGUAUGUAAUUAGAUAACAAGUGGUUAAAAGUUGAUGGUCAGUGCUGAGGCCGUGGUUGUGGUGUGUGCGGCUUAAAGGCUUGAGAUGAUAGCCGUUGUAUGCCGUUUCUGUUCUCCACAACAUGUAGGCAUUGAUCUCAAUUUUUAAGCAUGAGUUUCUCUUUUUA